GAUGAACGCUGGCGGCGUGCCUAACACAUGCAAGUCGAACGGAGUUAUGAUGUGAGCGGGAAGUGCUUGCACUAAACAAUCUUUUCAUAACUUAGUGGCGAACGGGUGAGUAACGCGUGAGUAACCUGCCCUAGAGUGGGGGACAACAGUUGGAAACGACUGCUAAUACCGCAUAAGCCCACGGUACCGCAUGGUACUGAGGGAAAGGAUUUAUUCGCUUUAGGAUGGACUCGCGUCCAAUUAGCUAGUUGGUGAGGUAACGGCCCACCAAGGCGACGAUUGGUAGCCGGACUGAGAGGUUGAACGGCCACAUUGGGACUGAGACACGGCCCAGACUCCUACGGGAGGCAGCAGUGGGGGAUAUUGCACAAUGGGGGGAAACCCUGAUGCAGCGACGCCGCGUGGAGGAAGAAGGUUUUCGGAUUGUAAACUCCUGUCGUUAGGGACGAUAAUGACGGUACCUAACAAGAAAGCACCGGCUAACUACGUG
RNAcentral lists this ribosomal RNA (490 nucleotides) under uncultured bacterium. RNAcentral describes it as "bacterial SSU rRNA". It matches the Rfam family "Bacterial small subunit ribosomal RNA", at positions 28 to 507 of the family's 1533-position model. The record is from RNAcentral.